RNAcentral lists this ribosomal RNA (405 nucleotides) under uncultured bacterium. Its description in RNAcentral is "bacterial SSU rRNA". It matches the Rfam family "Bacterial small subunit ribosomal RNA", at positions 29 to 424 of the family's 1533-position model. The record is from RNAcentral.
AACGAACGCUGGCGGCGCGCCUAAUACAUGCAAGUCGAGCGAGAAGACGUAGCAAUACGUUUGUAAAGCGGCGAACGGGUGAGGAAUACAUGGGUAACCUACCCUCGAGUGGGGAAUAACUAGCCGAAAGGUUAGCUAAUACCGCGUACGCUCCUUGGACUUCGGUUCAGGGAGGAAAGCGAUACCGUGGGUAUCGCGCUCUUGGAUGGGCUCAUGUCCUAUCAGCUUGUUGGUGAGGAACGGCUCACCAAGGCUUCGACGGGUAGCUGGUCUGAGAGGACGAUCAGCCACACUGGCACUGCGACACGGGCCAGACUCCUACGGGAGGCAGCAGUAAGGAAUAUUGCGCAGUGGGCGAAAGCCUGACGCAGCGACGCCGCGUGGGGGAGUGAAGGUCUUCGGAUU